RNAcentral lists this transfer RNA (66 nucleotides) under Lachnaia pubescens. RNAcentral describes it as "tRNA-Tyr". It matches the Rfam family "tRNA". From Rfam's summary of the family: Transfer RNA (tRNA) molecules are approximately 80 nucleotides in length. The record is from RNAcentral. Lineage: Eukaryota; Metazoa; Arthropoda; Insecta; Coleoptera; Chrysomelidae.
GGUAAAAUGGCUGAGCUUAGGCAUUAAACUGUAAAUUUAACUACGAAGAUUUAUCUUCUUUUACCA